CGGCAGGCCUAACACAUGCAAGUCGAGCGGAAACGAGUUAUCUGAACCUUCGGGGAACGAUAACGGCGUCGAGCGGCGGACGGGUGAGUAAUGCCUAGGAAAUUGCCCUGAUGUGGGGGAUAACCAUUGGAAACGAUGGCUAAUACCGCAUGAUGCCUACGGGCCAAAGAGGGGGACCUUCGGGCCUCUCGCGUCAGGAUAUGCCUAGGUGGGAUUAGCUAGUUGGUGAGGUAAGGGCUCACCAUGAGCGACGAUCCCUAGCUGGUCUGAGAGGAUGAUCAGCCACACUGGAACUGAGACACGGUCCAAACUCCUACGGGAGGCAGCAGUGGGGAAUAUUGCACAAUGGGCGCAAGCCUGAUGCAGCCUGCCGCGUGUGUGAAGAAGGCCUUCGGGUUGUAAAGCACUUUCAGUCGUGAGGAAGGUAGGUGUAGUUAAUAGCUGCAUUAUUUGACGUUAGCGACAGAAGAAGCACCGGCUAACUCCGUGCCAGCAGCCGCGGUAAUACGGAGGGUGCGAGCGUUAAUCGGAAUUACUGGGCGUAAAGCGCAUGCAGGUGGUUUGUUAAGUCAGAUGUGAAAGCCCGGGGCUCAACCUCGGAAUAGCAUUUGAAACUGGCAGACUAGAGUACUGUAGAGGGGGGUAGAAUUUCAGGUGUAGCGGUGAAAUGCGUAGAGAUCUGAAGGAAUACCGGUGGCGAAGGCGGCCCCCUGGACAGAUACUGACACUCAGAUGCGAAAGCGUGGGGAGCAAACAGGAUUAGAUACCCUGGUAGUCCACGCCGUAAACGAUGUCUACUUGGAGGUUGUGGCCUUGAGCCGUGGCUUUCGGAGCUUACGCGUUAAGUAGACCGCCUGGGGAGUACGGUCGCAAGAUUAAAACUCAAAUGAAUUGACGGGGGCCCGCACAAGCGGUGGAGCAUGUGGUUUAAUUCGAUGCAACGCGAAGAACCUUACCUACUCUUGACAUCCAGAGAACUUUCCAGAGAUGGAUUGGUGCCUUCGGGAACUCUGAGACAGGUGCUGCAUGGCUGUCGUCAGCUCGUAGUUGUGAAAUGUUGGGUUAAGUCCCGCAACGAGCGCAACCCUUAUCCUUGUUUGCCAGCGAGUAAUGUCGGGAACUCCAGGGAGACUGCCGGGUGAUAAACCGGAGGAAGGUGGGGACGACGUCAAGUCAUCAUGGCCCUUACGAGUAGGGCUACACACGUGCUACAAUGGCGCAUACAGAGGGCGGCCAACUUGCGAAAGUGAGCGAAUCCCAAAAAGUGCGUCGUAGUCCGGAUUGGAGUCUGCAACUCGACUCCAUGAAGUCGGAAUCGCUAGUAAUCGUGGAUCAGAAUGCCACGGUGAAUACGUUCCCGGGCCUUGUACACACCGCCCGUCACACCAUGGGAGUGGGCUGCAAAAGAAGUAGGUAGUUUAACCUUCGGGGGGACGCUUACCACUUUGUGGUUCAUGACUGGGGUGAAAGUCGUAACAAGGUAACC
This 1486-nucleotide ribosomal RNA is filed under the name Vibrio sp. AB003. Its description in RNAcentral is "bacterial SSU rRNA". It matches the Rfam family "Bacterial small subunit ribosomal RNA". The record is from RNAcentral. Lineage: Bacteria; Pseudomonadati; Pseudomonadota; Gammaproteobacteria; Vibrionales; Vibrionaceae.